CGACCGGCGCACGGGUGAGCAACGCGUAUGCAACUUACCUAUCAGAGGGGGAUAGCCCGGCGAAAGUCGGAUUAAUACCCCAUGAAACAGGGGUCCCGCAUGGGAAUAUUUGUUAAAGAUUCAUCGCUGAUAGAUAGGCAUGCGUUCCAUUAGGCAGUUGGCGGGGUAACGGCCCACCAAACCGACGAUGGAUAGGGGUUCUGAGAGGAAGGUCCCCCACAUUGGUACUGAGACACGGACCAA
RNAcentral lists this ribosomal RNA (243 nucleotides) under uncultured bacterium. RNAcentral describes it as "partial 16S ribosomal RNA". It matches the Rfam family "Bacterial small subunit ribosomal RNA", at positions 92 to 334 of the family's 1533-position model. The record is from RNAcentral.